UGUCUACUCCCUCUGUCCCAAAAUUAUUGUCUUAAAUUUGCCUAGAUACUGAAUGUAUCUAAUUAUGUUUUAGUAUUUAGAUACAUUCAUUUCUAGGCAAACUUGAGACAAGAAUUUGGGGACGGAGAAAUAUAAA
This 136-nucleotide microRNA precursor is filed under the name Hordeum vulgare. RNAcentral's name for it is "microRNA MIR1122". It matches the Rfam family "MIR1120/MIR1122 microRNA precursor family". Lineage: Eukaryota; Viridiplantae; Streptophyta; Magnoliopsida; Poales; Poaceae. The record is from RNAcentral.